UGAAUUAAAUGAGUUAAAGUUAGAGUACGCAUUGCAACUCUUUAUUCUUAAAUAAAAGUGGAAGAGUCCUCGUGAGUUAUGUUGAGUUAACAUGUGACCUUGUUAAGUGUUGAUGGUUUUUGAUGCUAUUUUUACCAUGUUGGUGAGUAUUGUUGAGUAAUUAUAUAAUUAUAUGUAUAGUGUUAAGCUGUAAAUAUAUAUAUUAUUAUUGAGUUAUGUUGAGAUGUGUGGUUCAUAGAGGAACCACUGUUGUGGCUUUAUAUUGAUAAU
RNAcentral lists this long non-coding RNA (270 nucleotides) under Lathyrus oleraceus (garden pea). RNAcentral's name for it is "Pisum sativum (pea) long non-coding RNA (PSAT_LNC008864)". The record is from RNAcentral. Lineage: Eukaryota; Viridiplantae; Streptophyta; Magnoliopsida; Fabales; Fabaceae.